GUCUGCGUACACACUACCCUCCCUAGACCCCACUAAGUGGGAUUAUACUGGGUUGUGUUGUUGUUGUUACUUGAGAUUUUGCUACAAAGUGGGAUAGACAAUCAAGUAAUUCAUAUCCUUCUUAUAACCAGUUCAUUUUGGGCUUUAAUUUUUGAAGUUGAAUUGUGGGUCAUGCAUUUAUUCAAAUUAGAGCUAAAUCUUUCAACUGAUGGAGCACUAUUUGUUAGAGGUUUAAAAGGCCACCUAUUGGACGUGUUGCUACCUAAUAGUCAGUUUUGUAAGAAAAGGUUUUACUUGUCAAAAAAGGGGGCGGGGUGUAUAAGAAGUGUUAACACAUGGUUUGAUGUUCUAAUAUUGAUCAAGACUUCAACAGAGGUUUAAAAGGCCACCUAUUGGACGUCCUGCUACCUAAUAAUCAGUUUUGUAAGAAAAGGUUUUACUUGUCAAAAAAGGGGGAGGGGUGUAUAAGAAUAGUGUUAACACAUGGUUUGAUGUUCUAAUAUUGAUCAAGGCUUCAAGGUACAGUGUUGUUCCAUGGUUCAUUCUACCCAUUAGUAUUUUCCUCAUACACCUAACCGUAAUUUGCUUGUAAAAGAUUAGUUCGUAUCCUAUUGGACAUGCUUGGGUACAUACUUGGCUUGUUCCCUUUCAGCUCCUUCCCUGUAGUUUAUAUCAUUAUUCCCAUUCUUCAUGUAUUUCGUGUUCCACAAUGUAUCUGGUACUAAUAUCAGAAGUUUUUUAACAGUCAUAUAUUAUGUACACGUAGCUUUCACGGUGCAAAUAAAACAGUGCAAAAAUAUAGACAUUAUUUUUAAAACUGUGUAUACUUCCUCUAUAAAAUGCUAUUGUAUUUCCCUCUUGGUGUUGUCCCAAAAUGUAUCCACUUUUUGAUGAAUGGCUUUCCUAGCUCCUGACAAUGUUCUUUACAUAUGAUAUCACCGAAACAUGGAUCCACUACCUCUCUUCUUGGAAUAGCAGCUUAUUCUUGCUUGCUUAGGCUCUUAUCUUUUGACCUAUCAAGAUAGAUAGGCUAUCUAUAGUAUAUGAAUAAGUGUAUAAGUUCAUCAACGAACUGUCUUUAUCUCCACUUCUAUUCACUAUUUUCACUUAGAAACCCUCUAUGUUUGUAUACGAUAAAAUUUUGGUCUUUUCCCUUGUCAAAUUUGUGCAGCUUAUUUGGGAAGAAGAUUGAUCUUUGAUAUAUAAAAUAUGGCUUACUCUUUCUUCAUUCGGGUUUCUGUUGUUCAGUAAUAGAUGUACAAUUAAUUGGACUGUUGCUUAGUAGUCAUAUUAAGAUUCAGCUCAUCUAUCUAGACGUCAAUUUUGCAAAUCAUAGACCAAAUGCCAGAAGUAAAAUAGAAUUGUUGAAAGGAAAAAUGGAAAGUUCGCAAAUAAAUAAACAUCUGAAACUUCUCUUGAAGGGCCAAAGCUUGUAAAUAUAGUAUUAGUCUUUCGGAUAAAUUCCUUGGGAAUUACAGAGUCUGAGAGGACUAGGUGAGCACAUUAUGAAAAUACCAUACAACUGAAAAUUGACAAACUUAAAAAUGUGGAAGUGGAGUAGCAUGGAAGAUGUAUAGGAGUAAAAGAACUUAAAAAAAAGAAGAAGAAGAUGAAAGUCAAAAUAGCAACAGCACUCAAACAUGUGAAGGAUUAGAGAUGCAAAAGCAUCAAGUGGCAGUUUAGGUUCUAUUUCAAAGGUUGCCCGCUAUUUUGAACCGCCAAGCUCAAAAUAAAAUCUGGGACAAUCUAGUUAUGCACGUUUUUUAUGUGAAGAAAAGUUUCUUUCUAAGUUUCUUGUACCCUCAAAUCGUCUUCAACUUUUUUGUUUUUGUUAUGUAUUUAUUUAUUUUGUUUUAUAUUUUAUUUGAGUCAAAAAGUGAGAAGAAAUUUGGUCUGAGUCAAAUUCAUAUUAGGAAAUGUCUCCAAAGUAUCCAAUUUGUGACAGUCCAACUUAAUCUGUCAUUAAGAUAUUUCUAAG
Molecule: long non-coding RNA, 1978 nt
Filed under: Nicotiana benthamiana
Lineage: Eukaryota; Viridiplantae; Streptophyta; Magnoliopsida; Solanales; Solanaceae
Description: long non-coding RNA (NBEN_LNC005125)
Source: RNAcentral